GACUCAAUCAGCCGCGGGUCAGCCUCU
This 27-nucleotide non-coding RNA is filed under the name Homo sapiens (human). The record is from RNAcentral. Lineage: Eukaryota; Metazoa; Chordata; Mammalia; Primates; Hominidae.